This 466-nucleotide ribosomal RNA is filed under the name uncultured bacterium. Its description in RNAcentral is "partial 16S ribosomal RNA". It matches the Rfam family "Bacterial small subunit ribosomal RNA", at positions 28 to 507 of the family's 1533-position model. The record is from RNAcentral.
GACGAACGCUGGCGGCGUGCUUAACACAUGCAAGUCGUGCGGUAAGGCCCUUUCGGGGGUACACGAGCGGCGAACGGGUGAGUAACACGUGCGCAACCUUCCCUUCACUUUGGGAUAACUGCCGGAAACGGUGGCUAAUACCGGAUAUGACUUCCUCACGCAUGUGGGGUGGUGGAAAGCCUUCGGGUGGUGGGGGAUGGGCUCGCGGUCUAUCAGCUUGUUGGUGGGGUGAUGGCCUACCAAGGCUUCGACGGGUAGCCGGCCUGGGAGGGUGACCGGCCACACUGGGACUGAGAGACGGCCCAGACUCCUACGGGAGGCAGCAGUGGGGAAUAUUGGACAAUGGGCGCAAGCCUGAUACAGCAACGCCGCGUGAGGGAUGACGGCCUUCGGGUUGUAAACCUCUUUCGCCUGCGACGAAGCGAGAGUGACGGUAGCAGGUAAAGAAGCACCGGCCAACUACGUG